This 761-nucleotide long non-coding RNA is filed under the name Homo sapiens (human). RNAcentral describes it as "HSALNT0181622". The record is from RNAcentral. Lineage: Eukaryota; Metazoa; Chordata; Mammalia; Primates; Hominidae.
GAAAGGUUUCACCAGGGUUAUAUAACACACAGUAAGUGGUCAAUGAUGUAGGGUAGUUGUGUUACUAUUCCUGAGAGGCAGGAACCCUCCUUGCUCCCAUAACCCCCAGAGCAAAGGAGUUGGGCAGUAGGGUCUUGUGACCGUGGCUUGAGUGCGUCAGCAUCUCACAGGGUCAGGUUUGGGAAUAGUCCCCAUUGUGGUCUUGUCAUAGAGGACAGAUUCCCAAGGAGGAACAAAGGGGCCUGAAAAUCAGGCCAGGGAGAAAAAGACCAUUUUGGGGUUAUUUAGCGCUUAUUAAUUGGUCACCUCGUUAGCAGCCCAUCUGCAGUCUGACUCCAGCAAGUGAGUGGGUGAAAGGGAGGGGGUGCCCUGACCAAAACUGGCUUCACAGAUUCAAUAAUAAGGACAGAGCAAUUACCGGAACUUCUAGAGCCAAUUCCCGUUAGGAGCAUGCCAGGCCGGGCUUUGUCCUACGGAGAAGAGGAAAAGGUCAGUGUGCUCUGUAGGAGGAGAAAAAAAGAGCCCUUCACAGGGAAAGAGCCUGCCUGAGGGAGGGAGACAAAGAAAAGGAGGGCUCUGUGGAGGUGAAAAACUAAAGAAAGAAUGACAUUUGGAAGUUCCUCAGAAUGAGGAGAGGAGAAUAAUAAAAUAAAAAUUACAAGGGAGAAGGCGCCAGUGGACAAACAAGGAGAGGCCAAGGGAAAGAGCGCUGGAGGAUCACUACUGCCCUGGAAAGCAGCUGGUGGAGGUGGCCUGGCAGG